GACGGAGGGUGCAAGCGUUGUUCGGAAUCACUGGGCGUAAAGCGCGUGUAGGCGGUUCGAUAAGUCGGACGUGAAAGCCCGGGGCUUAACCCCGGAAGGGCAUCCGAAACUGUCGAGCGUGAGUACGGGAGAGGGAAGCGGAAUUCCUGGUGGAGAGGUGAAAUUCGUAGAUCGCAGGAGGAACACCGGUGGCGAAGGCGGCUUCCUGGACCGAUACUUACGCUGAGAAGCGAAAGCGUGGUUAGCAAACAGGAUUAGAUACCCCGGUAGUCC
Molecule: ribosomal RNA, 273 nt
Filed under: uncultured bacterium
Lineage: Bacteria
Description: partial 16S ribosomal RNA
Rfam family: Bacterial small subunit ribosomal RNA
Source: RNAcentral